This 67-nucleotide microRNA precursor is filed under the name Bombyx mori (domestic silkworm). Its description in RNAcentral is "mir-2774 microRNA precursor family". It matches the Rfam family "mir-2774 microRNA precursor family". Lineage: Eukaryota; Metazoa; Arthropoda; Insecta; Lepidoptera; Bombycidae. The record is from Rfam by way of RNAcentral.
AUUAUAUUCGGACUGUCAGUCUACCGUGUAAUGUCACUCGCUUAGUGGAAGAUGUUCCCUUUGUCGC